Non-coding RNA from Equus caballus (horse), 1509 nucleotides. Lineage: Eukaryota; Metazoa; Chordata; Mammalia; Perissodactyla; Equidae. The record is from RefSeq and is a predicted model, not a curated record.
UUCAGAUACACUAUAUUCUAAAAUACCCUCUACAGAAAAUUCCCUAACUAUAUCUUAGAAAAGAAAAGAGGAGAAAAAAUUGAAGUUUUGGCCAAAUAAGAGAAAAAUCUUGGAAAUGUUGGCAAGGAUUUUUCCAUAGAUCUGCAAAAAGCUCCUUUAGAGAACCUUUUGGAAAUUAUUAUCAAAUGUCUGAUAUCAACUAGCACUCAUUGAAAUACCUUCUAUACCCAUAGCGUUGCAACAAGAAUGUGGGGCCAUUGAGGAAAAGGGGUGAGUUUUAAGAAAGAACUGAUAGACAAGCUCUCUGGUUGAAAAAGAGAAUUCAGAUUGAAUAAGAAUUCCAGACAGAUGGGGGAACAGUGUAUUCAAUUGCUCUAAAGAGUUCAGUAGUUCUGUGUGAUUUUAAUAUCUAAGGUUCACGGAUUAUGGGCAGGGUUACAACUGGAAGAUGAAGGACCCAGUGCCCCAUAUGGAAGAUACGGGCCUGUGUGAGUGAUGCUGGUGUCCUAAGCGGAAGGCACACAUUCAGAUUUGUCUCUUGGAAAGAUAACUCUUGUGUUGACGUGGGAGAGCGGGAGGGGGAGAAGAGAGAGCAAAGACCUCGCCUCAAAGAAGCUGAGGGUCUAAUAAUGUUGAUGAAGUUCACACUAAGCCAGAAUUCAGAAGAUAAUUGUCAUUAAAGAAUGCAAAGCUUUCCCAUGAUGCAUUGUUGCUGCCCAGAAUUCUGAGGUAGCUAAGGCUUCUAUAGUGACUGAAGACUUUCAGAUGAAUGCUUAUAGUGCAGUUUCCUCCAACAGUAUGACAAAUCCAAUACCACAAAAGCAUUGGGACUUACUUUUCUGGUGAGGAAGAUUGGCCCUGAGCUAACUGUUACCAAUCUUCCUCUUGUUGCUUAGGAAGACCGCUGCUGAGUUAACAUCUGCACCAACCUUCUGCUGCUCCAGCUAGGAUGCCACCACAGCAUGGCUUGAUGAGCAGUGACAGAGCAGUUGGGUCCUGUCUGGUAAAGCACUAAAUGAGGCUCUGUGGUCUGGUCGUCAACACACCUCAGCGACUUGGGCACUGGAGGGAAUCUGAUUCACGGAAAACGAAGAAUCAUUUCAAACUACCACAUAUAUGGACGUGAAAAUACAAUAAAUAAAUGUUUAAAUUAUCCUUGAGGAAAAUGAUCAACAAACUGUAAAUCUCUUCAUAGAUGAGUGUAAUGCUACAUGGUGUCAUUUCAUACAUGUUCUACUUUCUUCUUCCCACUGCUUAGACAUGGGGGUUAGCACAUGCAACUCACACGUAGAGCUUACAAAGGCAACCCCCUCAUUCCUCACAUGUUGACUGCAAUGAAACUCUGUGGGUUACGUUUCUAAUUAUUGCAAUUCUCUAAGCACUUUAUGAUGAGGAUUAAUUUAGGCUGGUUACUUUUAAAAACUGAAGAUUACAAAGAGGCUCUGAGGUGUGGAAUUUGCUUGCCCUUUGAUGAGACACAUUUGCAUUUGUGAAGGAAGUCUCCAUCUG